UAUCGGGUUUAUUUCAGACAUACAACCAG
This 29-nucleotide small RNA is filed under the name Bombyx mori (domestic silkworm). Its description in RNAcentral is "ovarian small RNA-23690". The record is from RNAcentral. Lineage: Eukaryota; Metazoa; Arthropoda; Insecta; Lepidoptera; Bombycidae.